GAUAACUAAUUACACCCACCAUCCGCCCGGGUACUACGAGCAUAAGCUUAAAACCCAAAAGACCUGGCGGUGCUUUAAAACCCCCUAGAGGAGCCUGUUCUAUAACUGAUAACCCCCGUUCAACCUCACCCUCUCUUGCCAUUACCGUUUAUAUACCACCGUCGUCAGCCCACCCUGUGAAGGACAAUUUGUGAGCAUAACUGAUAUAACCUCAUACGUCAGGUCGAGGUGUAACAUAUGAGAGGGGAAGAAAUGGGCUACAUUCGUUUAUUAACGAACCACGAAUGCAUGCUGAAAUCACAUGUUCGAAGCAGGAUUUAGCAGUAAGGAGAGGAUAGAGUACCC
Molecule: ribosomal RNA, 345 nt
Filed under: Entelurus aequoreus (snake pipefish)
Lineage: Eukaryota; Metazoa; Chordata; Actinopteri; Syngnathiformes; Syngnathidae
Description: partial 12S ribosomal RNA
Rfam family: Bacterial small subunit ribosomal RNA
Source: RNAcentral